Molecule: transfer RNA, 86 nt
Filed under: Nitrospirota bacterium
Lineage: Bacteria; Pseudomonadati; Nitrospirota
Description: Nitrospirae bacterium (hydrothermal vent metagenome) tRNA-Ser
Rfam family: tRNA
About the family: Transfer RNA (tRNA) molecules are approximately 80 nucleotides in length. Their secondary structure includes four short double-helical elements and three loops (D, anti-codon, and T loops).
Source: RNAcentral
GGAGGGCUAGACCUAACGGUAAGGCAGCGGUCUUGAAAACCGCCGGGCGCAAGCCCUUGGGGGUUCGAAUCCCUCGCCCUCCGCCA